The sequence is a transfer RNA, 88 nucleotides long. It matches the Rfam family "tRNA". From Rfam's summary of the family: Transfer RNA (tRNA) molecules are approximately 80 nucleotides in length. Their secondary structure includes four short double-helical elements and three loops (D, anti-codon, and T loops).
AGAGGGAUGGUCGAGGGGUUUAAGGCAGUGGUCUUGAAAACCACCAAGAAUUAAUAAUUCUUCGUGGGUUCAAAUCCCACUCCCUCUG